Oncorhynchus tshawytscha (Chinook salmon) is the source of this 753-nucleotide long non-coding RNA. NCBI's taxonomy places the organism in Eukaryota, Metazoa, Chordata, Actinopteri, Salmoniformes, Salmonidae. The record is from Ensembl.
AAUGUCCUGGCAAACAGCGAGCUACCGUAUAGGCUACCGUAUAGGCUACCGUAUAGGCUACCGUAUAGGCUUCAGUAUAGGCUACAGUAUAGGCUACAGUAUAGGCUACCGUAUAGGCUACCGUAUAGGCUACAGUAUAGGCUACAGUAUAGGCUACCGUAUAGGCUACCGUAUAGGCUUCAGUAUAGGCUUCAGUAUAAACACAACAGAUACCAACAACAGAUCAACAGUAUUUCUUACUCAAUUUCAAAACAUCAGCUCUCACUCUCCGGUCACAAACUCACCCAGUCAGAUAGCGAGUACUGGGUAAUUGAGAGCCGAAGCGGGGCUUGAACCAGCGAGUCAGUGCUGGUAAAAACGUCCCCUAGUCAUAGCCUGGAGGGUGAAUGAAUGUAAAGCACUUUACCUUGACUGCAUAUUAUGAGUUACUGUCGCGUCCCCUGUCACCCCCACGCCGGCGCUCAUCCUCCAGCCACAGCCACGGACACAGGUAACAUCCACAUUACAUUAAGUAAAAACAACCGACACACAUAUCCCCAACCAAGUCCAACAGUCAAAAAGGAAAUGUUAAAAAAUUAAAGAACGUUCAUUUGGAUAUAUUUCGUCCAUGGAGUUCGGUUACUUGUGACUAAAAGAGAGAGUCAAUAACUCAUUGUAAAGGUUUGUUUGUGAUCAAGGUCCGUUAAAUGUUUGUUUUUUUAUCUUGUCCCAGGAGCGAGACGCACGGAGUUGUACGCGUCGGACGGUUUCCGG